CCUACGGGGGGCAGCAGUGAGGAAUAUUGGUCAAUGGGCGCGAGUCUGAACCAGCCAAGUAGCGUGAAGGAUGACUGCCCUACGGGUUGUAAACUUCUUUUAUAAAGGAAUAAAGUGAGGUACGUGUGCCUUUUUGUAUGUACUUUAUGAAUAAGGAUCGGCUAACUCCGUGCCAGCAGCCGCGGUAAUACGGAGGAUCCGAGCGUUAUCCGGAUUUAUUGGGUUUAAAGGGAGCGUAGAUGGGAUGGUAAGUCAGUUGUGAAAGUUUGCGGCUCAACCGUAAAAUUGCAAUUGAUACUGGCAGUCUUGAGUGCAGUUGAGGUAGGUGGAAUUCGUGGUGUAGCGGUGAAAUGCUUAGAUAUCACGAAGAACACCGAUUGCGAAGGCAGCUUACUAAACUGCCACUGACAUUGAGGCUCGAAAGUGUGGGUAUCAAACAGGAUUAGAUACCCGUGUAGUC
This 460-nucleotide ribosomal RNA is filed under the name uncultured bacterium. Its description in RNAcentral is "partial 16S ribosomal RNA". It matches the Rfam family "Bacterial small subunit ribosomal RNA", at positions 338 to 795 of the family's 1533-position model. The record is from RNAcentral.